UGGGUGAUCUGCCCUGCACUUCGGGAUAAGCCUGGGAAACUGGGUCUAAUACCGGAUAUGACCUUGGGAUGCAUGUCCUUUGGUGGAAAGCUUUUGCGGUGUGGGAUGGGCCCGCGGCCUAUCAGCUUGUUGGUGGGGUUAAGGCCUACCAAGGCGACGACGGGUAGCCGGCUUGAGAGGGUGACCGGCCACACUGGGACUGAGACACGGCCCAGACUCCUACGGGAGCA
This 230-nucleotide ribosomal RNA is filed under the name uncultured bacterium. RNAcentral's name for it is "partial 16S ribosomal RNA". It matches the Rfam family "Bacterial small subunit ribosomal RNA", at positions 118 to 347 of the family's 1533-position model. The record is from RNAcentral.